GAGUCAAAUUGCUUAACACCAUAUAUGCAAUUCGUGUCUAGUUUUCUCUGCUUUUAAAGGACCACUUUAGAAUCUUAUGACACCGAUGUAUAACCCAGUUCAUCAUCACCCUUUGUGGAUGGCGAUGAGGGCUGGUUUGUUGAAGUGGUAGGGUUGGGACCCAAGUCUCUAAACUCUAGGUUUCUGUGUUUCCCUCCCCAGUCCGUGAAACCCCUCAUGCCUGUUGGCUGGGGGGAGAUGCCAGUGGCCUCUUCAGAACAUCUGAAGGCGAACCUGAGUGGCACUGGACUCCAUCAUCAGAGCAGCCCACAGAGGGCCAGCAUGGCUCUUCCACGGUGAGACGCCUUGGCUGAUAACCACUUCUGGGUUAGCUCAGGACACGUGGGAAACACCCCCUCCCUGACUCCCUGAUUCUGAACUGGGCUGUCCAUCAACAAUGCAAGGUCUGAGUUCCAGGGGCCAUGUCGUGUAUAUGGUGUGAGGGCCUGAAGAUAUUUAAAGGAAAAGUUGACUGAUGUUCUUUCAAUUCCUCCACGUUAUGAAGACUGAUUCCAGUUUAAGGAGAAUUCCAGGUAAGAAAAAAAUUCAAUUUUUAAUUUUAGACAAGACUAUUUCUGAAAAAAACUCUCAGUUCUUAGGUUAUAUUACCAGUUACACUGUACUGUAAUGCAUAGAGUUUAGACUUCAUGUAGAGUUUAGACUUCAUACGCUAAUUUCUGAUGGGAAGAAGAGGAUGACAGCCCUUUAGGGGAAAUGAAUGAUAACAUCACUGAGUUUUUCAUUAAUUUUUAAUGAGGCUUGUACAUUUCACUCACAGAGUUAAGCAUCACCCAACUCUGGUAAAUGUUAUCCUCAUACAGGUCAUUCAAUCACUUGAGUUUUAAGAGCAAGUUACUAUUUUUCAUUUUGCACUCUGAAAAAUAUCUUCUAUACAGGGAACAAUUAAAACAGUAGGACUAUAUUAAUUAUGUGACUACUUAAAAAUGACUCAAUUAUAAUAACAAUUUGCUACAUGAUAUAUCACACAUAGUUCCUAUUUUUAUUAAAAAACGAGUUACUCCAGCAAUUAUAUGAUGAAACUAACCCGUUUAUAUUUUAGCUGAACAUCUUUGGGUGUUUGUUGUUUUGUGCAUUUUCUUUAAUUCAUUUUCUUUUCUUAAUUGACCUUUUACAACCUGUUUCCUAGAUUUCAUAUUAACUGGUGAUGAAUCUGAACCAUUUAGUUGAUACAGUAAGUAAUUUCUUUAAUAUAUUGGAGACAUAAAAGAUACAGUAGAAGUUUUAUAUAUUUUUAAUUAAAAAAUUAUUCUACAGUACAAAGUCCCUUCCAGGCACCAGUCUCUUCAAAGACACACCCGGCUUGUGAGGAGGCUGUGUCCAUGCCAGUGGGGCUAAAGAUACGUUCUGGUAGUUUCCUAGAACAGCUGUGUGGCAGGCAUCAUUCCCAGCUCUGAUUUUAUUAAGAUAAAACUCCCAGGUUUCUGUUGCUGAAAAGUCCUGAAAAAGCCCUGAGGCCUCUCACAGUGCCUUUCCUGCAGUGGAGGCUGUCGGGUCUCACUUCUGAGUGACGGGGUCCUCAGCAAGCUACUGACAGAGCUGACCCACUUGGGAAAACCCCACCCCCACUUGCUUUCCAUCAGCAGAGAGGGGAGGCGGUUGUAGAGACAGGCCGUGGGGCCUGGUGCUAAGGGCCUGGCUGUGGGUGGGUGGGGCCCUGCUCAUCCACAGAAGAGCUGUGAUCUGGAGACACAUGCUUGAAUCUGAUUCAGCACGUGGAUUCAGGCAUCAGAAUCAGAAUCUUGGCAUGCUUGAAAAUGGCCCCAAGGUAGAGGGCAGCCGGGAGCACGUGGAUUCUGGCCACGGCCAUGAGCCAGCACACUGAGGAGUUCAGGUUGCUGGGCUGGGAUUUCUCAGCUCUACUGUCCUCAUCUGCAAAAUUAAUCUGCUUGAUUAUAUCUGGAAUAUUCAUUCUGCUCCAGUGAGUCCUAGAGUUUCUGAAGAGCCCUCUUUGAGUCUUCCCUGGAUGGGUAACCGUGGUGUGAAGAGUGGUCUCAGUCGUCCAAGCCCUGACUCAACCAGAGCAAAUGUGGGUUCAUGGCUUUCCCGUGUGCUUCUGAGUAAAUUCUGAUUUGACAAAGAUAACCUGCUGCUGAGAAGAAUAAAGGAUCUGAAAAGUUACCGUACAGCAUGAGUCUCCGACUGAGCCCUCUCAGGAUGAUCAGCGCUGGCUUCUGCUCUUGCUGCCUCAGCCCUCUCAAGAUGAUCAGCGCUGGCUUCCUCUCUUGCUGCCUCCUUAUGUAGGACACGCCAUCUCAGACGUGGGGACGGCACCCCUGGACCAAGUCCCCAUGCCUCCACGGAGCCAAAACACAGACCUUUCCUGCUGCACACUCACUUAGGAGCACCAAUAACCCAGAAGCACUUCCAGAAAUAAAGGUGGAAAAUGAUUCUAGACUGUGCUUCAUACUCUAUAGCUUGAAAUUUCUUAAAAGAGGCAAUAAUGCUUCCCAAUUUGUAAAACAUGGGAAAAAAUUCCAUUUCAUAAAAAUGAUAUUAGUGUAACACUGACAAUGGCGAUGACACAGUCACGAAUCACCCCUGUCCCAUCAGAACUGUUCCCUUUCCGCUUCAGGCUUUUUGAAGGUUACAAAAAUAAACAUUUUAAUAAAACAAGAUGAAAUUCCAGCAGGAAAAGACCAUUACUUUUAAUGAGAUUCCUUGAAAUGAAGAACUAUAGCUUAAUUGAUU
Pongo pygmaeus (Bornean orangutan) is the source of this 2748-nucleotide long non-coding RNA. RefSeq lists it as uncharacterized. NCBI's taxonomy places the organism in Eukaryota, Metazoa, Chordata, Mammalia, Primates, Hominidae. The record is from RefSeq and is a predicted model, not a curated record. The transcript is spliced from 3 exons.